GGUGAACGCUGGCGGUGUGCCUAACACAUGCAAGUCGAGCGGCCGGACGGUAAGCUUGCUUUUCUGCUGUUGGCGACGGGCGGAUGGGUAACGCGUACAUAGCCAUCUUCUUUGUCGUGGAUAAUUACGUGGAACCGGUGAUCAUACUACCUCAUACUUUCAACCGGUGAGUUCAUGAGUUAACGGCACUCUUCCUGACUCUUAUAGAUGGUUCCGCGCUACAUUAUCUAGUUGGUAAGGUAACGGCCCACCAAGGCUACGAUGCAUAGCUGACCUGAUAGGUUGAUCGGCCACACUGGAACUGAGACACGGUCCAGACUCCUACGGGAGGCAGCAGUAGGGAAUCUUGCACAAUGGGCGCAAGCCUGACCGAGCAAUGCCGCGUGAGUGAUGAAGGGCUUCGGAUUGUAAAGCUCUGUUAUGAGGAAAGAACAUAUGUAGAAGAAAAUGAGCACAUCUUGACGGUACCUAAAGAGAAAGCCACGGCUAACUACGUG
Molecule: ribosomal RNA, 497 nt
Filed under: uncultured bacterium
Lineage: Bacteria
Description: partial 16S ribosomal RNA
Rfam family: Bacterial small subunit ribosomal RNA
Source: RNAcentral